This 861-nucleotide small RNA is filed under the name Mycoplasmoides pneumoniae M129. RNAcentral's name for it is "Mycoplasma pneumoniae M129 ncRNA". The record is from RNAcentral. Lineage: Bacteria; Bacillati; Mycoplasmatota; Mycoplasmoidales; Mycoplasmoidaceae.
GCUUACAGUGCUGUUCAAUAAUGCCAAUUAACUUUAAGAAAAUAUCCGUGUCAAAGUUAGUCGGCGCGUCCUGUAAGAUUGCUACUAGGCGUUCAAUACCGGCCCCAGUAUCGAUGUUCUUCUGCGCUAACUCACUGUAGUUACCAUUGCCAUCAUUGUUAAACUGACUAAAGACAAUGUUCCACACUUCCACAUAACGGUCGUUUUCAAUGUCCUCAAAGAACAGUUUUUCACCAACCUUGUGCGGAUCAAACCGCUCCCCGCGGUCAUAGUAAAUUUCCGUACACGGUCCACAUGGUCCUAAACCUAAGUCCCAGAAGUUGCGGUCGCGGUCACACUUAAUAAUCCGACUUGCAGGAAUACCGUGUUUAAGUCAGGUGUUAAAGGUCAAUUCAUCAUCUUGGUACACUGUAAUGUAAAAGCGCUUCGGAUCCAAGUGGUAAUGAUUGACUAAAAGAUCAUUGGCAAAGCCAAUGGCCUCUUCCUUAAAGUAAUCACCAAUCGAGAAGUUACCCAACAUCUCAAACAGCGUUUGGUGUCGCGAUGUAAAACCGACGUUUUCAAUGUCAUUAACCCGUAGACAAAUCUGGGCGUUGGCUAACCGUUUACUCGGUGGUGUUUUCUUAGCACUAAAGUAGUCCUUUAAGGUCGCUACCCCGGAGUUAAUCCACAGCAGUGAAGGAUCAUUUACGGGAAUUAACGAUUUGGAAGGGAGUGCUAAGUGGCCCUUGGCAGUAAAGUAAUCUAAUCAGGUUUGUCUAACCUUAUCAGUUGUUCAUUUCAUUGGUUUAAUUGUAAAUGUUUGCCUUAAACCAAGGAUGACCACACAACAAGCUUACACUUCAAACUUCUUGUUGGCAA